CAUGAAACAGGGAAAAUAGAAAAAUCUCACAAUCAGGUGUUGUUAACAGACGUGUUUUGGAAACUGUUGGGUUCUCUAGUGGUUUGUAUGCACCAGUUUUGGCGCACACUUCUCAGGGAAAACAGUUAGCAGUUUUUAGAGAUAGCAGCGGUCACUCAUGACUUGCCUUGGUCAUUCAUGUGUAUUGUUUAGAGUGAACGCGUCUGGUGAUGCCUGAAAAAUUUAUUGACGCACACGUCGACGUAAUACACGAAUGACUAGAAAUGGGUAGUGCUCAGAGAAGAGGGGAGACUAGUUGGAACCAUGUCGUCCCGAUCCUUCCGACCCUGUGUGAGUUUAUGUCAGAACAUUGUCCGGGCAGUUUAGAUCAAAUGAACAGUUGGAGGUGCAACUGAGGGAGAUGGAGAUGAGCGCGACGGCUCAGCACGCAGUCUGAUCAACAACAAAAAAAGAAAAAAAAGGGAGAGACAGAGAUUGAAAGCAUUUAAUUCGCUAAAUUCCAAAAAGCCUACGAAGAAUGUGAACAAGUGUCAUUGCAUUCACCCAAAUACUGUGUAUCCUUGUCUUUCUGAGGUACUGAGAGAAUCGGUGGCUCCAGACCUGGAUUCCGCCCCCCCCCUUUUGCUCCGCCAGCCUGCUUGCAGCAGCCUUCUCAGUCAAAUGCAGCUUCAUCGGACACAGACUCUGGAACAAUGCAAAGACCAUCUGAAAGAGCGUUUCGUGAGCGGGACGAGACCAAACUCCGGCAGAUGGUGAGAAAAUCAUAUGUUCCACUAACAGAUGUCCUAAAGCACGCUGAACAUGCUAAGGCGGAGUUGCACAGAAAAGAGAUGCUUGCAACGAUCAACACACUUGCAAGACAAAUACGGAAUAUUCCUCCAUGGCAACUUGGGAGGACAAGAGGUCGAGGCAGAGGCAGAAUGGAUCUGACCUUGGAAAGAUAUGAUUCAAGUGUGUGCUACAACUGCGGAGGGCAUGGACACUGGCGAACAGGAAAAAGGAAGACCCGCUUUCGACACGGCUGAGCGGAGGGAGGCGGGGGAGGGGCGCAUCCCAGAGACGGACAACCCUCUCCAGGACAAACAAGUAAGGCACACUACACAAAAGAAAAACAAAAGAAGCAAACUUUAACAUUGAUUUUCUAACCAUCUUUAAAGAUGUUUUGACUCAGGAGUAAAAAUCUCAUUUGUAAAAUUGAAAUUCCCAUUAUUUUAGGCGAUAAGAAAUAGCUCAAAACCACUCUGUAGCGAAAAGAGUGAAAAACUAAUAUUAGACCAUGGAGCUUCAGUUGCUCAUGAUUUUUUCACAUUGCAUACAGUACUGCAGCAGAAGGUUACAUGCCAUUAUUACGUUGUCAUGUAAGCAUAGGAAGUAAACAGAAGGUUUGAGAGAAUGUAGAUUUGAAAUAGAAUUAUUGGUGAGAGAGAGCUGCUGUUGGGUCUGUCUGUGUGUCUCCCUCCGUCUCAGGAAAUGUUCCUUGGAGCUGCCCUGCAUAUAUCACUGACAGACUAUCGCACUGGGAAGGGCGAGGAUCUGGGUCCAUGUUUUGCAAUGCGUCUCGGCCUUUCAAAAGAAACAACGACCGGGUGCUGAGAAACCUAGGGACUAGCGCUAUUGCACUUCACACACAGGUGAAAUCUACACUUCCCUCACCAGCCACUGCGGUCCAGCAUCACCUGAAACCAGGAGACUGGGUGCUCAUCAAGGAUCACAGGAGGAAGCACGGGAAGCAGACACACUACACGGGUCCCUUCCAAGUACCCCGACAACGGAGACGGUGGUGAGAGUGGAAGGAGAACAACGUAGGUCUACGCCAGCCACUGCAAACACAUCUCAGAUCCAGAAGGAGAAGGAGCAGCUGCUACAGGUCCGGACUAGAGGGGAAGGGUGAGAAAAGCGAGCGCCUUCCUCCAUCAAGUAGCAUGCCAAGCUACCAACAAGCGCACCCUUAGCAGUGAAGUAACCGAACACCUCACUUAUUUUGUGUGGCUGGGGAGAAACCCGAGUUUCUCAAAACGCAAAGCUGUCAUACAGAAAUCAGUGUGGUAGGAGGUGAACUCAUGUGAAAAGGUGACGCCACCCAAGAAACAGUGAUGGAAGAAAGAUCUCCAGCAUCAGGACACUCCUUUGAGGAGCACGGGUGCAGCCAGAGCAAAAGCAUGCACUCACUGCUCUAUCUGACCACGACAGCAAGGAUACUGUUCCUGAACUUUGAAUUUCAAUUACAAGACAUAAACGGCAAAGAUACCAGCCCGUUUCAUCUCACGAAGAAGUGGCAGGAAUUGCCCAACAGGACGAUGUGUUCCCUCUCCUCAAUAGAUUGAUUGAUAUGUGAAUAUGGACAAACAACUUCGUCAAAUAGUAUGUGAGUGGUGUUAAGUGGCCUACCAGCAGGUCAGUGAAGCACAGCCAAAACCAGCACCUAUUGGAAACAUGUACUUUUAAGCCCAACACAGUAUCUAUUCGAUUAGAAAAUAGGUAUACAGAGCAUACCUUGAGUAAAUAAAUUCAAAGUCAAGCAUUCAUCUUGGACUAAAAGCAUAAUUGUACUAAAUCCUUAACUAAGACCAGACCUAGAGGUGAAGAUUCACCAAACCCAAACCGUCCAUUCUGAUCUAUUCUUUGACUAAUGUCAGCUGUCGUGUUAAUUUCUACGUGUUAGGAUAACUAAUUUGAGAAUAGUGUGUAACUAAACAAGAUCAGUACAUAGUGGGUAUUAGUAGACAAAAACCAUACUUUGCACUCAGAGGUUAAUGAUGUAAUGUCUUGAAAUCUUUGGGAAUCUACCUCACUGAUGUAUGUCCUACAAAUGGUUAUAUACUAACUUUUGACUAUCAUUUUUCAGUUGUUAAAAUUGUCAAAAAUGACAAAAAGAGUGAGAUGUUGGGGAAAAAUGUGUUUUAGAAGUUCUCUCUCUCCUGGAAUGUGUUAAACAGUUGUCCCUCCUGAAUGUCUAUGGAGGAUAAUCUAAUCCUGUGUGGGGUCAUGUGGAAAGGUCACAACCCAGGCUCUCAUGGGAAAAGGUCACAACCAAGGGGUCUUGAACUGAGCUUGAACCUAGCAGAAUAAACAAGCCUUCGGGGUGUCUCAACUUCCUCUAAUAGGUAACAGAUGGACUUUGGAAUGUGGAUUCUCUCUGAGAUCUAUAAAGGUUGCAGUCUUGCACUGAGACAGCAGCAGUUAUCUCUGACGGCUUCGAGAGAAGGCUCGGGGAUUCUGCUCCAUUCAGCUGAAUGUUUUCAUGACUUGUUUGUUAUUUAGCGUUUGGUUGAUGACUUGUAAACUUGUUACUAUAAUAAAGUGUUAUGGGUCAACCAUG
Pseudoliparis swirei is the source of this 3319-nucleotide long non-coding RNA. RefSeq lists it as uncharacterized. NCBI's taxonomy places the organism in Eukaryota, Metazoa, Chordata, Actinopteri, Perciformes, Liparidae. The record is from RefSeq and is a predicted model, not a curated record. The transcript has 2 exons.